This is a long non-coding RNA of Octopus bimaculoides (California two-spot octopus), 402 nucleotides long. NCBI's taxonomy places the organism in Eukaryota, Metazoa, Mollusca, Cephalopoda, Octopoda, Octopodidae. The record is from RefSeq and is a predicted model, not a curated record.
AAAGGGGCAGAUAACAAGUUGGCUUAAAGUCGGAGUUGGCUGAUUCAAGGCAGGAAAGAAGGAAUACUGAGAAGAGAAAUAUAUGCUGACAUGGAAACCAGAAUAAAUGUUGGAUGUCGCAUCUCAAGGCGUGAAUGGGGAAGCCAAAGAUGUACUACUAGCCUUAUGGCAGUGUUUAAAGGAGGAGAGGUGAUUACACAAUCUUACUUUGAAGUCACAUGAUGAACUGCCUUUGUAGGUUAAGAUGAUAUAUUUGAAGAUUUGUAAUCUUUAUAAAGAUUUACAUUUCUCUUCAGACAACUCUAUUAACUAAGAAAAACAGCAAAAAAAAAAAACUUGGUAUUUAAACAGAAGGCUGACCAUAUUAAAGAAACUAAAACAAAAAUUAUUCAGUAAUUGUUU